CACCAUCGAGGCAAGACGUACGGCCGUGCUCUCCCUCCUCCUCCACCUCCUGAGUAUUCCUGGCGGGCAGCGAUGGACAAGCAGAAGAGAAGCAACGCCUUCUUCUUCUACUUCAUGAUGGCUAAGAAACCCGAGGUGGAGAAGCGGCUCAAGAGAAAGGUGGAGAUGGCCAAGCUGGUGACGGCGGAGUGACAGAAUUCACCACAACCAAGUGUUACCAAGUGAGGCGAGGAUGGCCCAGGGCACCACCACCACCAUCGCCACAGUCACCUCCAGAAAGCAACACCGCAUCAUUUUUUUUUUUCACAGCUAAGGAAUCGCCUCAAGGGCAACAAAAAAGGUGUAAAAUAAAAAGCCCGCUAAUCGCUGUUCCCACAAAGACAAUAGUGAAAGGUGGCCAAAAGAGAGAUUUGGAGGAAGAAGAGGAGGAGGAAGAGAUAACAAGAGGAACAGAAGAAGGAGAAGAAGUAAUCUCUCUCUCUCUCUCUCUCUCUCUCUCUCUCUCUCUCUCUCUCUCUCUCUCACACACA
Molecule: long non-coding RNA, 530 nt
Organism: Eriocheir sinensis (Chinese mitten crab)
Lineage: Eukaryota; Metazoa; Arthropoda; Malacostraca; Decapoda; Varunidae
Exons: 3
Source: RefSeq, a predicted model, not a curated record